Molecule: ribosomal RNA, 758 nt
Filed under: uncultured bacterium
Lineage: Bacteria
Description: bacterial SSU rRNA
Rfam family: Bacterial small subunit ribosomal RNA
Source: RNAcentral
AGAGUUUGAUCAUGGCUCAGAAUCAACGCUGGCGGCGUGCCUAACACAUGCAAGUCGAGCGAGAAAGUGGGAGCAAUCCCAUGAGUACAGCGGCGACCGGGUGAGUAACACGUGACUAACCUACCCUUGAGUGGGGAAUAACUCCGGGAAAACCGGAGCUAAUACCGCAUAACACCGCAAGGUCAAAGGAGCAAUUCGCUUAAGGAGGGGGUCGCGGUUGAUUAGCUAGUUGGUGGGGUAAUGGCCCACCAAGGCGAUGAUCAAUAGCCGGCCUGAGAGGGCGCACGGCCACACUGGAACUGAAACACGGUCCAGACUCCUACGGGAGGCAGCAGUGGGGAAUUUUGCGCAAUGGGGGAAACCCUGACGCAGCAACGCCGCGUGAAGGAUGAAGGUCUUUGGAUUGUAAACUUCUUUCGUCCGGGAAGAUAAUGACGGUACCGGAAUAAGAAGCCCCGGCUAACUUCGUGCCAGCAGCCGCGGUAAUACGAAGGGGGCGAGCGUUGUUCGGAAUUAUUGGGCGUAAAGGGCGCGUAGGCGGUGCGGUAAGAGUGUUGUGAAAUCCUCGGGCUCAACUCGAGGCCUGCAACGCUGACUGCCGUGCUGGAGUGUGGGAGAGGUGCGUGGAAUUCCCGGUGUAGCGGUGAAAUGCGUAGAUAUCGGGAGGAACCCUGUGGCGAAAGCGGCGCACUGGACCACAACUGACGCUGAGGCGCGAAAGCUAGGGGAGCAAACAGGAUUAGAUACCCCCGUAGUCC